Molecule: ribosomal RNA, 821 nt
Filed under: uncultured Bacteroidota bacterium
Lineage: Bacteria; Pseudomonadati; Bacteroidota
Description: bacterial SSU rRNA
Rfam family: Bacterial small subunit ribosomal RNA
Source: RNAcentral
UUUGAUGGGCGUCGACCGGCGCACGGGUGAGUAACGCGUAUCCAACCUGCCCAUCACUUGGGGAUAACCUUGCGAAAGUAAGACUAAUACCCAAUGACGUCUCUAGAAGACAUCUGAAAGAGAUUAAAGAUUUAUCGGUGAUGGAUGGGGAUGCGUCUGAUUAGCUUGUUGGCGGGGUAACGGCCCACCAAGGCGACGAUCAGUAGGGGUUCUGAGAGGAAGGUCCCCCACAUUGGAACUGAGACACGGUCCAAACUCCUACGGGAGGCAGCAGUGAGGAAUAUUGGUCAAUGGACGAGAGUCUGAACCAGCCAAGUAGCGUGCAGGAUGACGGCCCUAUGGGUUGUAAACUGCUUUUAUAAGGGAAUAAAGUGAGUCUCGUGAGACUUUUUGCAUGUACCUUAUGAAUAAGGACCGGCUAAUUCCGUGCCAGCAGCCGCGGUAAUACGGAAGGUCCGGGCGUUAUCCGGAUUUAUUGGGUUUAAAGGGAGCGUAGGCCGGAGAUUAAGCGUGUUGUGAAAUGUAGACGCUCAACAUCUGCACUGCAGCGCGAACUGGUUUCCUUGAGUACGCACAAAGUGGGCGGAAUUCGUGGUGUAGCGGUGAAAUGCUUAGAUAUCACGAAGAACUCCGAUUGCGAAGGCAGCUCACUGGAGCGCAACUGACGCUGAAGCUCGAAAGUGCGGGUAUCGAACAGGAUUAGAUACCCUGGUAGUCCGCACGGUAAACGAUGGAUGCCCGCUGUUGGUCUGAAUAGGUCAGCGGCCAAGCGAAAGCAUUAAGCAUCCCACCUGGGGAGUACGCCGGCAACGGUGCAACUA